This 492-nucleotide ribosomal RNA is filed under the name uncultured bacterium. Its description in RNAcentral is "partial 16S ribosomal RNA". It matches the Rfam family "Bacterial small subunit ribosomal RNA", at positions 29 to 532 of the family's 1533-position model. The record is from RNAcentral.
AGUGAACGCUGGCGGUAGGCCUAACACAUGCAAGUCGAACGGCAGCACAGUAAGAGCUUGCUCUUACGGGUGGCGAGUGGCGGACGGGUGAGGAAUACAUCGGAAUCUACUUUUUCGUGGGGGAUAACGUAGGGAAACUUACGCUAAUACCGCAUACGACCUACGGGUGAAAGCAGGGGAUCUUCGGACCUUGCGCGAUUGAAUGAGCCGAUGUCGGAUUAGCUAGUUGGCGGGGUAAAGGCCCACCAAGGCGACGAUCCGUAGCUGGUCUGAGAGGAUGAGAAGGCACAAUGGAACAGUGUCAUAGAACAGGCUCAUACCGGAGGCAGCAGUGGGGGAUAGUGGAAGAAGGGCUCCAGGCUGAACCAGCCAUAACGCGUGAAUGAAGAAGGGCGGCGGAAUGUCAAGCUCUUCUGAUGGGAAAGAAAAACAGCGCGUUAAUAACCCGCGGGUCGGCCGCGGCGGAAAGAGUGCGCACGAGCAACCUCUGAC